CACGCCGUAAACGAUGAUUACUAGGUGUAGGGGGUAUCGACUCCCUCUGUGCCACAGUUAACGCAUUAAGUAAUCCACCUGGGGAGUACGGCCGCAAGGUUAAAACUCAAAGGAAUUGACGGGGGCCCGCACAAGCAGUGGAGUAUGUGGAUUAAUUCGAGGCAACGCGAAGAACCUUACCAGGGCUUGACAUCUCCUGCAGACACAAGAGAUUGUGUUGUCCCUUCGGGGCAGGAAGACAGGUGG
This 246-nucleotide ribosomal RNA is filed under the name uncultured Eubacteriales bacterium. Its description in RNAcentral is "uncultured Clostridiales bacterium partial 16S ribosomal RNA". It matches the Rfam family "Bacterial small subunit ribosomal RNA", at positions 796 to 1041 of the family's 1533-position model. Lineage: Bacteria; Bacillati; Bacillota; Clostridia; Eubacteriales. The record is from RNAcentral.